CAGUUAAAGAUGAGCAUGCGUGACAUUAGCUAGUUGGUGAGGUAACGGCUCACCAAGGCCACGAUGUCUAGGGGAUCUGAGAGGAUUAACCCCCACACUGGUACUGAGACAGGGACCAGACUCCUACGGGAGGCAGCAGUAAGGAAUAUUGGACAAUGGUGGCAACACUGAUCCAGCCAUGCCGCGUGAAGGAUGAAGGCCCUAUGGGUUGUAAACUUCUUUUGUACGGGAAAAAACCUUCUUACGUGUAAGAAGC
This 256-nucleotide ribosomal RNA is filed under the name bacterium Fw70-12. RNAcentral's name for it is "partial 16S rRNA". It matches the Rfam family "Bacterial small subunit ribosomal RNA", at positions 216 to 469 of the family's 1533-position model. The record is from RNAcentral.